Molecule: ribosomal RNA, 253 nt
Filed under: uncultured bacterium
Lineage: Bacteria
Description: partial 16S ribosomal RNA
Rfam family: Bacterial small subunit ribosomal RNA
Source: RNAcentral
UACGGAGGGAGCUAGCGUUGUUCGGAUAUACUGGGCGUAAAGCGCACGUAGGCGGCGCCGUAAGUCAGGGGUGAAAUCCCGGAGCUCAACUCCGGAACUGCCCUUGAAACUGCAGUGCUAGAAUCUUGGAGAGGCGAGUGGAAUUCCGAGUGUAGAGGUGAAAUUCGUAGAUAUUCGGAAGAACACCAGUGGCGAAGGCGGCUCACUGGCCCAUAACUGACGCUGAGGCACGAAAGCGUGGGGAGCAAACAGG